GAUGAACGCUGGCGGCGUGCCUAAUACAUGCAAGUCGAGCGAACGGACGAGAAGCUUGCUUCUCUGAUGUUAGCGGCGGACGGGUGAGUAACACGUGGAUAACCUACCUAUAAGACUGGGAUAACUUCGGCAAACCGGAGCUAAUACCGGAUAAUAUUUUGAACCACAUGGUUCAAAAGUGAAAGACGGUCUUGCUGUCACUUAUAGAUGGAUCCGCGCUGCAUUAGCUAGUUGGUAAGGUAACGGCUUACCAAGGCAACGAUGCAUAGCCGACCUGAGAGGGUGAUCGGCCACACUGGAACUGAGACACGGUCCAGACUCCUACGGGAGGCAGCAGUAGGGAAUCUUCCGCAAUGGGCGAAAGCCUGACGGAGCAACGCCGCGUGAGUGAUGAAGGUCUUCGGAUCGUAAAACUCUGUUAUUAGGGAAGAACAUAUGUGUAAGUAACUGUGCACAUCUUGACGGUACCUAAUCAGAAAGCCACGGCUAACUACGUG
RNAcentral lists this ribosomal RNA (497 nucleotides) under uncultured bacterium. RNAcentral's name for it is "partial 16S ribosomal RNA". It matches the Rfam family "Bacterial small subunit ribosomal RNA", at positions 28 to 507 of the family's 1533-position model. The record is from RNAcentral.